UACAGAGGGGGCGAGCGUUGUUCGGAAUUACUGGGCGUAAAGGGCGCGUAGGCGGCCCGCUAAGUCGAACGUGAAAUCCCCGAGCUCAACUCGGGAACUGCGUCCGAUACUGGUGGGCUUGAAUCCGGGAGAGGGAUGCGGAAUUCCAGGUGUAGCGGUGAAAUGCGUAGAUAUCGGGAGGAACACCAGUGGCGAAGGCGACUACCUGGCCUGUUCUUGACGCUGAGGCGCGAAAGCUAGGGGAGCAAACGGG
Molecule: ribosomal RNA, 253 nt
Filed under: uncultured bacterium
Lineage: Bacteria
Description: partial 16S ribosomal RNA
Rfam family: Bacterial small subunit ribosomal RNA
Source: RNAcentral